GACGAACGCUGGCGGCGUGCUUAACACAUGCAAGUCGAACGGAAAGGCCCUUCUAUUGUGGGGUGCUCGAGUGGCGAACGAGUGAGUAACACGCGAGUAACCUGCCCUUGACUAUGGUAUAACUUCAGGAAACUGGGGCUAAUACCGUAUAUGCGCUCCUGCUGCAUGGUGGGGGUUGGAAAUUUUCGGCGGUUGGGGAUGGACUCGCGUCAUAUCAGCUUGUUGGUGGGGUAGGGGAUUACCAAGUCUUUGACGGGUAGCCGGCCUGAGAGGGUGACCGGAAAGAUUGGGACGGAGAUACGGCACAGACUCAUACGGGAGGCAGCGGUGGGGAAUGUGGCACAAUAGGAGGAAGGCUGAUGCAGCAAAGCCGCGUGGGGGAUGACGGGCUUCAGGUUGGAAACCGCUUUCGCAUGUGAAGAAGAGUGAGUGACGGUAAUGGGUUAAGAAGCACCGGCUAACUACGUG
This 468-nucleotide ribosomal RNA is filed under the name uncultured bacterium. RNAcentral describes it as "partial 16S ribosomal RNA". It matches the Rfam family "Bacterial small subunit ribosomal RNA", at positions 28 to 507 of the family's 1533-position model. The record is from RNAcentral.